This 270-nucleotide ribosomal RNA is filed under the name uncultured archaeon. RNAcentral's name for it is "partial 16S ribosomal RNA". It matches the Rfam family "Archaeal small subunit ribosomal RNA", at positions 477 to 747 of the family's 1478-position model. The record is from RNAcentral.
CAGCACCUCAAGUGGUCAGGAUGAUUAUUGGGCCUAAAGCAUCCGUAGCCGGCUCUGUAAGUUUUCGGUUAAAUCUGUACGCUCAACGUACAGGCUGCCGGGAAUACUGCAGAGCUAGGGGGUGGGAGAGGUAGACGGUACUCGGUAGGAAGGGGUAAAAUCCUUUGAUCUAUUGAUGACCACCUGUGGCGAAGGCGGUCUACCAGAACACGUCCGACGGUGAGGGAUGAAAGCUGGGGGAGCAAACCGGAUUAGAUACCCGAGUAGUCC